AGCGGCGAACGGGUGAGUAACACGUAGGUGAUCUGCCCAUCAGACGGGGACAACGAUUGGAAACGAUCGCUAAUACCGGAUAGGACGAAAGUUUAAAGGUGCUUCUGGCACCGCUGAUGGAUGAGCCUGCGGCGCAUUAGCUAGUUGGUAGGGUAAAGGCCUACCAAGGCGACGAUGCGUAGCCGACCUGAGAGGGUGAACGGCCACACUGGGACUGAGACACGGCCCAGACUCCUACGGGAGGCAGCAGCAGGGAAUCUUCGGCAAUGGGCGAAAGCCUGACCGAGCAACGCCGCGUGAAUGAUGAAGGCCUUCGGGUUGUAAAAUUCUGUUAUAAGGGAAGAACGGCUUUAGUAGGAAAUGGCUAGAGUGUGACGGUACCUUAUGAGAAAGCCACGGCUAACUACGCGCCAGCAGCCGCGGUAAUACGUAGGUGGCGAGCGUUAUCCGGAAUUAUUGGGCGUAAAGAGCGCGCAGGUGGUUGAUUAAGUCUGAUGUGAAAGCCCACGGCUUAACCGUGGAGGGUCAUUGGAAACUGGUCGACUUGAGUGCAGAAGAGGGAAGUGGAAUUCCAUGUGUAGCGGUGAAAUGCGUAGAGAUAUGGAGGAACACCAGUGGCGAAGGCGGCUUCCUGGUCUGUAACUGACACUGAGGCGCGAAAGCGUGGGGAGCAAACAGGAUUAGAUACCCUGGUAGUCCACGCCGUAAACGAUGAGUGCUAAGUGU
RNAcentral lists this ribosomal RNA (726 nucleotides) under uncultured bacterium. RNAcentral's name for it is "bacterial SSU rRNA". It matches the Rfam family "Bacterial small subunit ribosomal RNA", at positions 94 to 823 of the family's 1533-position model. The record is from RNAcentral.